CUGCGAGUUCGCGGGAGAGUAAGUUAUUGCCAGGGUUUUUAUUUUGUAAUUUAAACCUUAAAUUUAUUUUUUAUAUUUUUUUAAUGUUCAUGUUUUUGAAUGUUUUAUUCAAAUAAUGUAAAAAAUAAAAUAGAUAUUGACAUGGAUUGAACAAAAGAUAUAUAUUAUUUUAUGUUGCAUAAACAAAUUGGCAAAAUAGAGAUGGAAGAUAAAAAUAUGGUCAAAG
RNAcentral lists this unclassified non-coding RNA (226 nucleotides) under Borreliella valaisiana. RNAcentral describes it as "partial 5S-23S ribosomal RNA intergenic spacer". Lineage: Bacteria; Pseudomonadati; Spirochaetota; Spirochaetia; Spirochaetales; Borreliaceae. The record is from RNAcentral.